RNAcentral lists this unclassified non-coding RNA (234 nucleotides) under Hevea brasiliensis (rubber tree). The record is from RNAcentral. Lineage: Eukaryota; Viridiplantae; Streptophyta; Magnoliopsida; Malpighiales; Euphorbiaceae.
AGUUACCUUAAAUUUUAAUAUUUUAUUAUUAUAUCAUAUUUUAGUGCUCCAAAAAUCUUAUAAUUUUCAGUGAUGGUAGUACAAGGAUUUAAGUCUAAAUUUUAAAUAGGGCGAGUGAAAGUAUAUGUUAAGCCAAACUUCACUGAUUUUUAAUAAUUUACCCUAAACAAUUACACAUCAAAAAGCCUAACAGAUAAAAUUACAAAUAGUGAAAAGAGAGAAGAAUAGAAGGAG